This is a long non-coding RNA of Myotis lucifugus (little brown bat), 1003 nucleotides long. RefSeq lists it as uncharacterized. The record is from RefSeq and is a predicted model, not a curated record. Lineage: Eukaryota; Metazoa; Chordata; Mammalia; Chiroptera; Vespertilionidae. The transcript is spliced from 2 exons.
AUGAGGAACUGUAUUAAAGGGUCGCGGCAUUAGGAAGGUUGAGAACCACUGCCACAGCAGCUGUAUGUAUUUCAAAGGGAACCUUCCACCAUUUGGUUUAAAGGCGACAGGUUGUAUACAGGUAGUCUCCUGUUUGCCCUUAUGCAGCGGGUCCCUCUGCCUCUGUGCAAAGCCCUGGGUGGCCUGGCCUCUGCCCUGUGCCUUUCUUUACUCCUUGAUCAUAUGGCCUUUCUAUUCUUCUACACCUACCUGGCUCAUUCUUGCUCAGGGCCUUUGAACCAGCUCCUCCUUAGCCUGGAGUGCUGUUCUUCCAUGGACACCCCCCCCCCCAAUUAUCCUCUUAAUGUUCCCUCAGAGAGACCCCUUGACUGCUUGCUCUAAAUCAGUCACAUCAGCCUGGUCUUAUUUGACUGACUUCUCUAGGUGACAUUUACCACAAUCUUCUUGUUUAUCUGCUGGUUUGUUCCAUGUGAGAAGGUGAGCCUGUGAGGGAAGGGAAUGUGCCUGCCUCUCCCGCUGCACCUCCAAACAGGGUCUGUCGUGUAGUAAGGAGAUGUCCAUGGGAUGAAUGGCCAAGUUGCUUUUCUCCUCCUGAGAUGCUGGUACCUGUUAGCGCCUGUGUCUUCCUGGGGGCAGGGUCAGAUAGCUCUUGAUUUCACCGCCACCCCCAGGAAACCAACAAAACAUAACAAUAAAGCAUCAUUGUUAUUUAACCUCUCACUUUUUCCACCUUGUAGAGCUACCCUCCUCUGCCCCACACCACUCUUCGAAGAAAGGAUCUGCUGCGAGACAGAGUGUCAACUGCUGUGAGGACCAGGGUGGGAUUCGCUUGGCACCAUCUGCAAACAGUUUGCAGAUUCUGCCCAAAUUCUGCCUCUACCAUCCCCUCCCAGCUUCCAUUGCCAGUGUCUAAUGCAUCCUGCCUGUUUCUCCAUGCACAGACAAGCAAAUGUGACUAUGAAUUCAUCUUGGCUCCCUUCAUAAAGUAAAAGAUAACAAACUA